UUCGUCUGAAGGGGAGAGCGGCGGACGGGUGAGUAACACGUGGGUGACCUGCCCUGAAGAUGGGGACAACCACUGGAAACGGUGGCUAAUACCCAAUGUGCUCGGUAAUUCGUUUUGCCGAGUAAAGCUCCGGCGCUUCAGGAUGGGCCUGCGGCCUAUCAGCUAGUUGGUAGGGUAACGGCCUACCAAGGCAAGGACGGGUAGGGGACGUGAGAGCGUGGCCCCCCACACUGGCACUGAGAUACGGGCCAGACUCCUACGGGAGGCAGCAGUCGGGGAUAUUGCGCAAUGGACGAAAGUCAGACGCAGCGACGCCGCGUGGGCGAAGAAGGCCUUCGGGUUGUAAAGCCCUUUUCUGGGGGAAGAGAUAAGGACGGUACCCCAGGAAUAAGUGUCGGCUAACUACGUGCCAGCAGCCGCGGUAAAACGUAGGACACAAGCGUUAUCCGGAUUUACUGGGCGUAAAGAGCGUUGAGGCGGUUCCGUAAGUUGGACGUGAAAGCCCUCGGCUCAACUGAGGGAUGUCGCUCAAUACUGCGGGACUUGAGGGCAGCAGAGGGAGGUGGAAUUCCUAGUGUAGCGGUGAAAUGCGUAGAUAUUAGGAGGAACACCAGUGGCGAAGGCGACCUCCUGGGCUGCUCCUGACGCUGAAGGCGAAGGCUAGGGUAGCAAACGGGAUUAGAAACCCCGGUAGUCCUAGCAGUAAACGAUGGAUGCUGGGUGUGGGAGGUAUAGAUUCCUCCUGUGCCGAAGCUAACGCGUUAAGCAUCCCGCC
RNAcentral lists this ribosomal RNA (775 nucleotides) under uncultured organism. RNAcentral describes it as "bacterial SSU rRNA". It matches the Rfam family "Bacterial small subunit ribosomal RNA", at positions 76 to 873 of the family's 1533-position model. The record is from RNAcentral.